Molecule: RNA transcript, 1694 nt
Organism: Dermochelys coriacea (leatherback sea turtle)
Lineage: Eukaryota; Metazoa; Chordata; Testudines; Dermochelyidae
Gene name: class I histocompatibility antigen, F10 alpha chain-like
Exons: 8
Source: RefSeq, a predicted model, not a curated record
CUGGCGAUGGCCCUGGCGCUGCGCCUGCUGCUGCUGGGGGCUGCGGCUCUGCACGGGGGCUGCUCCCGCCUGCACUCCACGCGCAUAUACAACACAGUGGUGUCGGAGCCUGGCCCAGGGCUCCCCUGGUACAGCGCUGUCGGCUAUGUGGAUGAUCAGCUCUUCGUGGACUACACCAGCGAGAAGCGGAGGGUGGAGCCCCACACAGCGUGGAUGGCGCGUAAUGUGGACCCACAGCACUGGGAUGAGCAGACUUGGCGUGCACGGCGCUGGCAAGCCUGGUUCAAUGCGAGUCUGAACACCCUGCGUGAGCUCUACAACCACAACAAGGGGUUUCACGUUAUCCAGACGAUAUACGGCUGUGAUCUCUCGGAAGACAACGUCAUUCAGGGGUUUUACCAGGAUUCAUAUGACGGACGAGACUUCCUUACCUUCGAUAAGGAGACCAUGACUUGGGUAGCAGCGGAUAUUGGGGCUCAGAUCACCAAGAAGAGAUGGGAUAUUGAAAUAGGUGACAACCAGCGGUGGAAACGCUAUCUGGAGGAGGAAUGUAUUCCCUGGCUAAGGAGUUCUCUAGAAUAUGGGAAGGAAACUCUGCAGAGGAAAGUGCGCCCAACAGCUAGAGUGAGUGACAGGUCAUCUCACGAUGGCCUCACCACCCUCUCCUGUACAGUCAGAGGGUUCUACCCCCAGGACAUCACUGUGACCUGGCUGAAAAAUGGGGAGAGCAGACAGCAGGAGACCUACUCUGAAGGCAUCCUACCCAGUGGGGACGGGACCUACCAGACCUGGGUGACAAUGGAGAUUGAUCCCAAGAUCAAAGCCCAUUAUUCAUGUCACGUGGAGCAUGAAAGCCUGUUAGAGCCACUCUCUGUCUCCUGGGAACCAAAUAACAAUCUGAUUCCCGUUGUGGCUGGAGUUAUCACUGCAGUUGUCCUGAUUGGUGUUAUAAUCGGAAUAGUCGUCUGGAAAAAGAAACACCCAGGGAAGAAGGGAGAUGGCUACGCUGUAGCUCCAGGGCCUCCAGCUGCCAUUAACUGUGUUCAGUGUCGCUGGACUGAAUGGAGGAAUUAGCUGGAUCAGCUUGGCAAAGAAGGGAUUUGGACACAGAUCUGCCGUCUCCCAUGAACAACAGACCUCCUUCCGCUGGGCAAGGGGGAAGCAUUUUGCGGGUUAAACAUCCAACACAUGGCAUAGCUGGCAUGUUUAUUGUAACAGCAGAUAGGGAAAGAGGAAAAGCAACAGAGAAAGUCCUUUGGCUCACAGGGUGAUCUGUGCCCUGAGCCUUUAGCUCCCUUUUACAGCUUCAAGCAAUCACUCUAAUGGGACGUAACUAGCCCAAAGGAGGACAGAGUCAUUUCAUGAUGCAUAGCGAUAACCUCUUGGGUUCAGACCAAAUAUUGCAAAAGUCCAUUAAUUUUGCAGUGCUGUUUGUGCUUCAGGUGUUAAAUUCUCUUCUCUAAGGGGCAGACAAUACUCUAUUUUGGCACGACACACACUGCAACAGCUGGCAGGAUGGGGGUGUUUUCCUGCCACUCCUGAACCAGCUGUGGGGGCACCAUCUUACUAAAUAGCAGCACUACAAAUCUUCCUGGUUCACCCAUUGCCUUUUUGAACAAGACCCUUCCCUGCCUCUCUGGAACACUCCUCAAGGUAAAAUCCUCCAAUAUGAGAACACCUAAACUCCCUCCCAG